RNAcentral lists this ribosomal RNA (443 nucleotides) under uncultured bacterium. Its description in RNAcentral is "bacterial SSU rRNA". It matches the Rfam family "Bacterial small subunit ribosomal RNA", at positions 29 to 519 of the family's 1533-position model. The record is from RNAcentral.
AACGAACGCUGGCGGCAGGCCUAAAACAUGCAAGUCGAACGCCCCGCAAGGGGAGUGGCGCACGGGUGAGUAACGCGUGGGAACGUGCCCUCACUACGGGACAACGUCGGGAAACUGACGCUAAUACCGUAUAAUGACUCCGGUCCAAAGAUUUAUCGGUGAAGGAGCGGCCCGCGUCUGAUUAGCUAGUUGGUGAGGUAAUGGCUCACCAAGGCUACGAUCAGUAGCAGGUCUGAGAGGAUGAUCUGCCACACUGGGACUGAGACACGGCCCAGACUCCUACGGGAGGCAGCAGUUAGGAAUAUUGGACAAUGGGCGAAAGCCUGAUCCAGCCAUGCCGCGUGUGUGAUGAAGGCCCUAGGGUUGUAAAGCAACUUUCGUUGGGGAAGAUAAUGACUGUACCCAAAGAAGAAGCACCGGCUAACUUCGUGCCAGCAGCCGCG